UAAGGAAUAUUGGGCAAUGGACGCAAGUCUGACCCAGCCAUGCCGCGUGAAGGAUGAAGGCCCUCGUGGUCGUAAACUUCUUUUAUACGGGAAAAAUUCUUCGGUCGUGAAUCGAAGUUGAUGGUACUGUAAGAAUAAGCAUCGGCUAACUCCGUGCCAGCAGCCGCGGUAAUACGGAGGAUGCGAGCGUUAUCCGGAUUUAUUGGGUUUAAAGGGUGCGUAGGCGGAUUGAUAAGUCAGUGGUGAAAUCCAACAGCUUAACUGUAGAAUUGCCAUUGAUACUGUUAAUCUUGAGUACAGUUGAAGUGGGCGGAAUGUGUUGUGUAGCGGUGAAAUGCUUAGAUAUAACACAGAACACCUAUUGCGAAGGCAGCUCACUAAACUAAUACUGACGCUGAGGCACGAAAGCGUGGGGAGCAAACAGG
Molecule: ribosomal RNA, 425 nt
Filed under: uncultured bacterium
Lineage: Bacteria
Description: bacterial SSU rRNA
Rfam family: Bacterial small subunit ribosomal RNA
Source: RNAcentral